This 312-nucleotide long non-coding RNA is filed under the name Ananas comosus (pineapple). RNAcentral's name for it is "long non-coding RNA (ACOM_LNC020492)". Lineage: Eukaryota; Viridiplantae; Streptophyta; Magnoliopsida; Poales; Bromeliaceae. The record is from RNAcentral.
AAAAGUAAGACUUUAAUUUCAGAGCAAUGUCAGGUCUACAAUCUAUUUUGGAUUGUAUUUCUGUAAUUUACCGACCGUCCAUAGCGCAAGUGACAAAAGGGUUUGGUGGUUGAUACCCGAGACCCAAAUUCGAAUUCUAGUUGAUUCACAUUUCUAGCUAAGUUUAUUUCUAAAUGAAAUAAACGAAGCGGGUAGCAUGCUAUCUUUCUUUCAAAAAACAAAAAAAAGUAUUUCUGUAACUUGGUCCACUAAAGCCAAGUUUACUGCACUAACCUUAUCACUCUUUUAUUAUUAUUAUUAUCAUCAUCAAUA